ACAGGGCGGACAGCUCAUGCCAUGCCUGGUUAUCAGAGUGAUUGAUUUUAGUCAAUGCUGCGGGUGAAAAAAUAUCUGUUAAUAACUACAGCUGCAAAACUCCUGAUGUCAGUGAUAGCACAAAUCACUUCUCACACUCUGUAUUAUCUGGCUCAUUUGCAGAUAUGGAACAUUCCAACGAUCCAUUGGAACACAAAAUUUUAACGUACAGAUUUAUGCAAGAGGGAUGACUGCAAAGUGCAUUGCAUGAGUAGAGUAAGAAGCUGAAAAUUGCUGCUGUUGUAGCUGUCAUACGCACGUUAUUUUCUUUGGUAUGUGUGGAGAUUUCGCUGUCAGGCUUUUAUCCUCCAGAUUGUUUGUGCUGUACCUCUCUUCCUGCUUAAAAUAGAAAAUCAGUCACUGAACCUGGAUGCUAUUAAGUGUUCUUAGAAUAAUUCUUAACUAAGUUGGUUGAUUUUCACUUUCUGAUGAAAGAACAUUUGGUUGUUUAUUGCAGGCUCUAAAUAAACAUGUUUUUCCAAAAUCAACAGAUAAGAUUACAAAUUACAUUCCAUCAACAGAAUUGUUUACCAUAGGUAUAUUCCUUGCCAUAUAAUAUUUAUCAUUUUAGUUGUUAUGUUUUUUAUUUUGAAAGAUCUGGAGUUUAUCUUCAUCUAACAUUGUGUCUUAACUACAUUUUGCAGGGGUUAACAGGGAAUGUGGAUGUUUUAUGGACCUCAGAGGAGGAGUGGGGCAACAAAUAAUCUCAUGUGUUUGGUAGGAUUGUUAUUUUAAAUCCAGCCCAUUACCCAGCCUUUUUGCACUAGCUUUUUAUCUGACAUUCCCUACUGGCCCAAAACAAUAUAUUUCAUAUACCUCCAAACAUAAAAAUCUUCUCAGGUUUUUAUAGUCCCUUGUCCCCCUGGAAUUUACAGAUGCAUCCUUUUUCAGGAAGCACAUACAACUGUGGUCUGAAAUGCUGGAGUACUUGAUUUCUUGGAAUGAUAAAAUUGUCCUUUGCUUUUUCAAGCUUUCCCUCUCUGCUCUGUAGAUAAGUUCUUUAGCUGAAAAAAUGAAAUAUGAAAAAAACCAGACUUGUUACUGUGUAUGCUAUUUCAUCACGCUGUUGUUUAGUUCUGGCUGGUAUUCUGCAGAAGACCAGAGUGUGGUCAUAGUGAUAUCAGUUAGCCUCAACAUUUUAUUUAUGUAAAUGAUAGGGGAGAAAAUGUCCAGUUCAAGAAAGCGGAGAUGAUUCUUGCUUAGUAGGAGAUUAAAGCAUUACUGUCAUUAUUAUUUGUUCUUAUUUCUCCAGAGGAUCUGGGUCUUGAUUAUGAUUCCGUUGUGGUAAGUGCCUCUAUCAAUCACAGAGAGAUCAAGUCCUUGCCUGAAGAUGUGCAUAUAAAGAUACUCCAUACAGCAGCAUGCCUUGAAGGAGCUUGAUGAUAUGGCAAACUGAGAAGAUACAUUUAAAAUACUGCCCGUUGUUUUUAUGUACAAGAAUCCCAGCCAUGAAGGAAUCUGAACUAGGAGGAGGAGACGGGAGUUCCUGGCCACACUCUUUUGUUAACAUCAGUAAGCCAUUGCCAUAGGAUUGAGUGAAGAUGCACCACCUCAGGAAUUUUAGAUAAAAGGUCACAGCUUGACACCAAGUACAGGGCAUUUAUAUGCAUCCAUUCCAUUUCACAGGGCAUCCACUGUCUCCAGGCACAGCUGCAGGACUCUUCAUGUAUAAAUAAAUAACCUGCUGUAAGACAGAUUAUGUUCCUUGGAUAUCAAUCACUGUCCUGGGGCUUGCUGCUGAGAGCUAUUGGAUGUGUUUGCCUCUGAAUACGGGCUGAAAGCUGUGCUGGGAUACUCAUUUCUAGCUUGCCUCUCAGAUUUUCAAAUCAAGGAAAAAGUGAUUAAAAGAGACAGAGGGAUCAAGGUGCUUUAGACUUGUCCAUAUGAAGAGAUGGACUAUCCAAGGAAGGCACAUGGACCUUAACAGAGGAACUACUGCCUGAGCAGAAGCUGGCCAUGGGCAGUCACCAACAUGAGCAGCCUGGUGUGGAGCUUGCAAGAGAAUGGUCACAGUUUUGCAAAGAAAUAGCACACCUCAGAAGAGAUGCUUGUAAAACGGUAGAAGCUGAAACUAAAGCAAGAGCAGAAGUUUCCUCCUUUUCUCCUUGAAAUUCUUUUGGAAAGAACACUUUUGACUCUCAUUUUAUAAAGGAGUUGGGAAACUGUGUUGUUUAACAGAGGAAAAGUGAAUAAUUGAGAAACCUUGCUUCCUUUUCUCAUGGAUGUGAAUGGCAACAGUAACUAAUCAAUGAGGAGGAGACCAGGAGACCUGCAUCUGUUGAUUUUUGUUAAGCAAUGGAAGAAAGAAAAGAGAAAAAAGUGGUUUUCUCCUUUGUUUCCAUUGGAAAAAGGAACAGCAAGUAAACUGUGAUGUAACAUCAUUAAUAUCGGUCAUAGAAGAGGAUAUGUUAAAACAACAUAAUUCCAGAUGUUCAAUGAAGAUUGGCUAAUUGAAAAUCCAGUUGCAAAAAAUGUGCCCUCAGGACUCUUUUUGUCACUGCAGUUCAUCAUGUGGAGUGGUAACUUUUGUUUCUUCUCAAUAUUAAUAAGGAUGACAGCAGCAGUGAGCUUUAGGUGUUUUCCAGAGGAAGCAUUGGACCAAAUAAGUCUACUGGUGUGUCAUCGUAGGGAGUCUGUAAAGGCAGCUUUUGUUUAAACGUCUCUGCUUACUGCAUAGCACCACUGUGGGUGUGUUAUAUAAAUUGCGACAAUGGAGUGUAUUUCAGAUCCUUCAUCUCAGAGGCCAUCUGUCAUUGAAAGUGACACAUUCACCUGCCCAUCACUUCUGCAGCAGCAUGUGUGCUAGACAGGGUACAUCCCCAUGAAGUUAACAACAGGAACAGCUCUUCAUACAGCUGACUUUGGAAAGACUUAGUAAUCAAGUCACUCUUUCAGAUGUGAGCAAACACCACAAAUAGAUCGUUCUUUCUGUCCAAGAGAACACCAAGUGCUUUCCGCUUUGCUUCAGAAAAGAGCAAACUAGUUCCCUGAGGGAUAUUUUUUACUCAGUAGAAUCCAGCAUCGCCUCCAUGGGCACUUCUCUGCUCUCCCUGACCCACAGAUUCCAAGGAAGAAAACUAUCCACAGCAGGUUGAAGCUACAGGGGGAGUCCUGAAUUGUUUUUCUCCAUCAAGCUACUUUACUUCAAAAAGUGGACCUUCAAAAACAGCAAUUCCCGUGGAUCAGUGCUUAAAACGAUGUCAGGGUCUUGCUGAGCCAUUGUUGACCCCCUGGGUAGCAAGGUUGUGCAGAGCAGGAGGACUGCAGUGAACCUCUUCCCGUGUCUCAGGGGAGCCCAGUGCUGAGUGUGGCAAAACCCUUCAAGGGGGCGUAACACAGUGGAUGAUUGAUUGUACCCGCCAGCUGGCUAAUAUCAUAAUUAACAAAGUUGCUACCAUGUCUGAGAAGUUUAAUCGAAAAAAUUGCCGGCAGUAUGAUGCCAUUGUCACAGAGAUCAGAAGCGCUGCAGUGUUGACUUUUGUACUGGUGGAGCCGCAGGACUAUGUAGAUGUGCUGAGAAGUCUUUCGCUAGGAUAACUAAAGUGAGAUGUGAUUGCAGACAGCACACUGGGCUGUGGUAGAACUGACCAGUGGCACCUUGCCUUUGCUCUGCUCGUUCCCGCCGGAGCAGCUGUGCCACGGGGACGCCGAACUUCGGAGCAGCUGCCUGCGAUGAACCUUCACAUGCAGGAAUGUUGGCAGGAGCGCGUGGAAGCACAUCAGCAAGGUUUAGCUGGUGGAUCAUAUUGUGAAAUCUGCAGCCAUGAAAGGCCCUCCAUUUACUGCACCCUUCAAAACGAAAUGUUAGCAUGGGAGGGUAAGCUGGAGGCUAAUAACGAAGGAGUCAGUGAAGGAGACCGAUGCCACAAGGGUUAUCUCACAGCCCCAGAUGCUGGAUAAGUUGAAGCAGAAUCGCUUUUGGAUGACAUUCAGGAAGGCCUUGAAUGAUUAUCUUGCGAAAAAAGACUAUUCUUUCCAAGGGGUUUUUUUCCUCUCGAUGCAGCAAUGAUCUCUCAGGAAUCCUUUUUGAGACAAAGGAGCACUCCACAUCCAACCAUACCUAAGGAAAUGCUUUGAAGGAAUUGAGCAGCUCGCUUUUAAUCACAAGAGAGAAAGUACCCACAUGGAGUCAACAGAAAAUGAAAAAGUAGAGCUCGUGCUGCGAAUAAUUCCAUCAAGUGCCAAGGGGCUAGUUGAGAAAUAACUUCAUGAGGUGAAUAUCUUUAGCUCUUACUUAGGGUUUAGUUACUGUAUGAUAAUUUUCUCUUUUAGGAGCAAUGAAUAUCAUAAGCGUAUUUCCUAACUAAAUAGCUCUCUGAAUAUUUGUCAAGAUGUUGACAGAUUUCAGUCUUAUUGUUGUUAUUUAUUGCAAUGAAUUUAGCACCUGCAGACCUACAGAAAUCAAUUCUAAUAAAAAGCUCUCUGAGUCAGGCUGUCAGUAGAAGUCAGUCUGUGUCUGAAACCAUAUGUGUCAAUAUAUGUUUGAGUCUACCUGUAUGUGUUUUCGUGCUUUCAUGAUUUAAUGUCUGUAGUUCAGGAGGAUAACACGCAAAAAUAACCAGACAAAUGUAAGAUUUUGAAUGCUGCCCCCACCCUUCAGAAAGUGUGUCCCAUUGUGUUGGAGGGGUUUAAUAUCCAAUCAUUACAACAAAAGGAAAAAGAAAUUAUGUCACUGAUAACAUCCUAACCUUUCCCCUUUGGGCCUCUCAUCCAAAUUCAUUGGUUUCAGUACGAAAUUAGUUUGGUGACCUUUUUGUUUGAUUUAUUUAACCUUCCUCUCCCAGUGGAUGGGAAUGGGACCUUCCCUUCUUUUUUGUUUCUGGGCAUUUUUCUUCCAUGCGCUUACUUUUCUCUUGGGGUAGGAUCACCCCUAGGAAUGCCACUUCCCCUUUGUUCACUGUUGUGGGUACUGAUCUUGUCCUUGGUGGCUUGUUCCUGGGUACCCCCCAGGCAAGGACAGUGGCCGGGAGCAUCACCCAACUCCAGUGGGAAAGAGAAGGGGAGGCUGCAGGCCUGCUACUUUUAUAUCUGGAUAAUUUGGCAGAGGCUGUGGGGGAAUCCCUGGGCAGUGAAACCCAGAGCAGUGGCAGGUCAAAGACAUUUGCCCCUCUUAUGUAUUGUGUUUCUGCUGGACUGCUUAAGUCCGCUUGCGAAUCCUGUUUCCCACCUAAUGGAGCUGCAUGGAAACACUGUACCAGUCUUGGACUGAGCCCCUUUUAGAAGUGUGACUGCACACAGUUUAAAAUGGUCCAUCUGCAGCAUCAUUCAGGGUAGGGAAGGAAGAAGAAGAGGGCAGAAUUAGGCAAGCCCAAACACUUCCCAUCCUGUUCUCCAUGUCAAGUCACUAAGUUGGUUUUUGGAAUAGUUUCCAGCACGAAGUUAUCUCCGUUAAAAAAAAAAAAAAAGGAGUGACGGUGCGUAAGCAUCAGUCUUGAGGAGCACAGGAAAAGCCCAGAUUCUUAAGCCUGCAAUAUACUUUAGUUUUCACCUUCUUCCACAAAUGAAACAGGGCUGGGGGAGGCGAGCAGCUGUGUUUAUUUUAAUACAUCUAUUUUAACCCGUACCUAAAAACAAAUUGGAAGGUUUGGGAGUGCAUUAAUCUGGAUCCUAUUAGUGUCUCCUUCUCCCUCAAAAGUGCAACCUGAGAUUAAUUAAUGUAAACCAGAGUUUCAUAUGCAGUCUUUAAGUCAUUUGCAUGUUUUAUGCAUGAUAAUUGAAUUUAUUUAUGCACUUCCUUUCAUUUAAUGAUUUCUCACUCUUUUCUAUGCUAUCAACAUUAUAUUAUGCAAGACAUAGGAUUUGGUAGGCAAGAAAGGAUACAGUAUAUAAAUCAAAUCUGAGUUAAUUUUUAGUUCUAGUGUCAACACUAGAUCAGAAUUAAUAUUGGUCCCAUGUCAAUGGGGUUAUAUGGCUGGGAAAAUGUUAAAUAUUUUUGGUAAAGCAUAGGCUCUUAGCUUAACGAAACAUUUCUGAUGCAGCCUAGUUUGCUUGCAAGUGUACAAGCAAAAUUAUUUUUGAAUGGCAGUUAAAUUAUUGUAUUGACUUUUCAAUGACCCUGGAGACUUAUGUUUCUACUUGGCCAAUUAGUAGUAAUAAGAAGAUGAAUAGUAAUUACGUUAAUAAGUAACUGUGUUCAGACCAGGACCUUGGUAUUGUGCUCUGGCUUAGAAAAUAAGGGUAUAUUAUAAUUUGUCUCAUUUGGUCUUUCAUCUGGAGAAAUAUGGACUUUGGAGUUAUAGUGAAUUUAUCAUAGCCAAGAAGGUAAAAGUCCUAGGGAUGAAUGGGUCAUAUGAGAUAGCAGCUCUGUGGUAGUGGCUGUUUCAGUGCCAUAAGCAUGGAAUCUUGCUUUGUUUCUGCAGUUAAGCUCAGAUGUCUUAAAGAUGUCUUAGUGAUGGAGUCUGAUUUUUUUAUAAUGCAUAUCAGGAAGCUACUAUGGGAAAUAGUUUUAAAAAGAUGCUGGUAGUGGUGCUUUCAUAGCAUUUAUCAUUGCCAGUUUCUUUCGUGUCUCUUGUCUUUCCUUAUGUCUUGAAAGAUGUAUGUGGAAGUGAUAUUUUUCUGUGGUGUCCUGUCUUUUAUCAGUGAAUUAAAUGGUUGUGUCUUGUGAUCGUUUCUUGAUUCUCGUAGGUAGGAAUGUGUUUAAAGGCUAAAGUUCUUUUAAUUUGUAGUGUAACCAUUUCGGUGUCUUUCUUGUCAUUGAAAUGUAGUUUAAAAUGCUCAGUAAUGUAGCAUGAAAUCAUUGGUUAGUUUUGGAAUGGUGGUGAAAUCAUGUGAAGAAAAUAAGUAUUGCAUCUGAUCAAGAUAAAUUCACUCUAGUGUUUUAUGGCUUUUUAUUCCUAUGUGAUAGUAAUAAAGUCUCAUGUAGGGAUGGAAGCCAUGAAAUACAUUGUGAAAAAUCAUCAACUCAGAUGGGGCCAUCAGGAUAGCAUGCUGUAGUUGUAGAGUUAUUGAGAAUGAUUGGAAGACGAUUUAGUAUGUCACCACUUUGACCACGUUUUUGCAUUUUGUUUCUUCAUCCUUCACCCACGUAGUUUGAUGAGAGGAAAUCAGUUUGUAACAAGCCAAUCCAAUUUUACAUCAAUGUUCAGUGUUUAAAUUGUUCAUACAUCUUUCAUUUUCUGCCAAAGAUAACACUGUAUAUGAAACCCUAAGCUAAGAAUUUAAUAUAGCUAAUAAACACAUGCCAAAAUGAAUACGAAGAAGAGUUGAUGAAUUUCUAAAUGCUUGGAAACUAAGCAAGUUCUACCCUGUUAGCAGCUGGUCCAGCUUCUUUAUUUUCAUGUUUGAGAGCAAAUCUGAGGGAUGAUUCAGGGAUUUAAUCCCUGUGCUCUUUUACAUGGGCUCUUGUACUUUUCUCCAUUUCUCUGCUUGCGUGUCCUUCUGAAAAUGCAUGUUCUUUUGCCUCUCUGAAGCUGAGAUAAAGGCUGACAGUGUUGGGGUCAGAAAACAAUUUCUGACAAUUUCUUUACAGUGCUACUGCCUUACUGCUUUGUCUUCUUUUCUUUUGAAUACCAAUUUCCUUUGUGAAUAUUUUGGAGAAUGUUAUUUAUUCUGAUGCAACUAUUUACAAUUUUCCUGUUGUAUUAUUUCUCUGAAGCCUAUGUUAAUAAAACAUUAUGGAUUUUUUGCUA
Long non-coding RNA from Pipra filicauda (Wire-tailed manakin), 7667 nucleotides. RefSeq lists it as uncharacterized. NCBI's taxonomy places the organism in Eukaryota, Metazoa, Chordata, Aves, Passeriformes, Pipridae. The transcript has 16 exons. The record is from RefSeq and is a predicted model, not a curated record.